Molecule: small RNA, 132 nt
Filed under: Salmonella enterica subsp. enterica
Lineage: Bacteria; Pseudomonadati; Pseudomonadota; Gammaproteobacteria; Enterobacterales; Enterobacteriaceae
Description: RtT sRNA
Rfam family: RtT RNA
About the family: This family represents a bacterial cis-regulatory element known as RtT RNA.
Source: RNAcentral
AUAUCACUCUGUACGGGAAGGAUGAGAAGCUUCGACUAAGGUUCGAUUCGAGCGAAAGCGAGAAAGCGUUGCCGCAGGCAACGACCCGAAGGGCGAAACGCGCAGCGCUGAGUCAUCCUUCCCCCACCACCA